UCGAGAAUUUUUCGCAAUGGGGGAAACCCUGACGGAGCGACGCCGCGUGGAGGAUGAAGGUCUUCGGAUUGUAAACUCCUGUCAUUUGAGAACAAGUAACACCUAGUAACUACAGGUGUUUUGAUAGUAUCAGAAGAGGAAGAGGCGGCUAACUCUGUGCCAGCAGCCGCGGUAAUACAGAGGCCUCAAGCGUUGUUCGGAUUCAUUGGGCGUAAAGGGAGCGUAGGCGGUCUGGUAAGUCGGGUGUGAAAUCCUGGGGCUCAACCCCAGAACGGCAUUCGAUACUGCUGGGCUUUGAGGAAUGGAGGGGAGAUUGGAAUUCACGGUGUAGCAGUGAAAUGCGUAGAUAUCGUGAGGAAGACCAGUGGCGAAGGCGGAUCUCUGGACAUUACCUGACGCUGAUGCUCGAAGGCCAGGGGAGCAAACGG
Molecule: ribosomal RNA, 428 nt
Filed under: uncultured bacterium
Lineage: Bacteria
Description: bacterial SSU rRNA
Rfam family: Bacterial small subunit ribosomal RNA
Source: RNAcentral